AGAGUUUGAUCCUGGCUCAGAUUGAACGCUGGCGGAAUGCUUUACACAUGCAAGUCGAACGGCAGCACGGGGCAACCUGGUGGCGAGUGGCGAACGGGUGAGUAAUAUAUCGGAACGUGCCCAAUCGUGGGGGAUAACGUAGCGAAAGUUACGCUAAUACCGCAUACGAUCUACGGAUGAAAGCGGGGAUCGCAAGACCUCGCGCGAAUGGAGCGGCCGAUAUCAGAUUAGGUAGUUGGUGGGGUAAAGGCUCACCAAGCCAACGAUCUGUAGCUGGUCUGAGAGGACGACCAGCCACACUGGAACUGAGACACGGUCCAGACUCCUACGGGAGGCAGCAGUGGGGAAUUUUGGACAAUGGGCGCAAGCCUGAUCCAGCCAUUCCGCGUGCAGGAUGAAGGCCUUCGGGUUGUAAACUGCUUUUGUACGGAACGAAACGGUCUGCCCUAAUACGGCAGGCUAAUGACGGUACCGUAAGAAUAAGCACCGGCUAACUACGUG
RNAcentral lists this ribosomal RNA (501 nucleotides) under uncultured bacterium. Its description in RNAcentral is "bacterial SSU rRNA". It matches the Rfam family "Bacterial small subunit ribosomal RNA", at positions 8 to 507 of the family's 1533-position model. The record is from RNAcentral.